This 1413-nucleotide ribosomal RNA is filed under the name Triticum aestivum (bread wheat). Its description in RNAcentral is "partial small subunit ribosomal RNA". The record is from RNAcentral. Lineage: Eukaryota; Viridiplantae; Streptophyta; Magnoliopsida; Poales; Poaceae.
AUGAUGAGGCCGCUGCGUCUCGUUCCCGGCCUCCUGCUCCUGCUGCUCUCGCGCCCGGCGCCGGCGCCGGCAUCGACGGUGGUCACCCACCUGCCGGGAUUCGAUGGGCCUCUCCCCUUCUACCUCGAGACCGGGUACGUGGGCGUGGAGGAGGACACCGGGGCGGAGCUCUUCUACUACUUCGUGGAGUCGGAGCGGAGCCCCGGCGCGGACCCGGUGCUCCUGUGGCUCACCGGCGGCCCUCGCUGCUCCGGCUUCAGCGGCCUCGCCUUCGAAGUCGGCCCCGUGAAGUACGUGCUGGCGCCGUACGAUGGCGGUUUGCCGCAGCUGGUAUACAACCCCUUGUCAUGGACCAAGAUGGCAAGCAUCGUCUUCUUGGACUCGCCCGUCUGCUCGGGCUUCUCGUACGCGCGCGACCCCGAAGGCUGCGACGUCGGAGACUAUUCCUCCUCUCUGCAAGUCCAGAGGUUUCUGAUUAAGUGGUUCACGGAUCACCCGCAGUACCUUUCCAACCCUUUCUACAUCGGAGGAGAUUCAUACGCCGGAAAGGUGGUUCCACUCAUCGCGCAAUACAUUUCAGAAGGAAUUGAGGGAAGGCAGCAGCCUGUCAUCAAUCUCAAGGGCUAUCUGGUCGGCAACCCUAUAACGGACCCAAAGUUCGAUGAAAAUUUCCAGGUUCCAGCUGCUCAUGGCUUUGGGAUAAUAUCUGAUCAAAUAUACGAGUUUUCCUUUUCUUUCCCCAAGGCUGCAAUGCAGCACUGCAAAGGAGAUUAUGUAAACCCCGUGAAUCAAAUGUGUGCUGAGGUGCUACAAACUGUAAACAGCCUCAUUUCUGAAAUCCUAGAUGCGCACAUCCUGUACAAAAAAUGUGUCUUCUCCGCGCCAAAGCCCAUACAUGAUGCAAUGGCUAGAAAGAACUUGUUGGAAGAAUCGGUCGAGCUAAAUGAGGCUCCUGCUCGACCUGCCAUCGAUUGUCUUACAUACGGUUACUACCUGUCAUACUUUUGGAUGAACAACAAGAUGACUAGAGAUGCUCUCGGGAUCAAGCAGGGGACGGUUAGUGAGUGGAAAAGAUGCAAAAGAGAACUUCCCUACCCAUAUGACAUGCCAAGCAGCAUACCAUACCAUAUCAACCUCACCAUGAGAGGUUACCGUGCACUCGUGUACAGCGGAGACCAUGAUCUUCAGGUGCCUCAGUUGAGCACGCAAGCAUGGAUAAGGUCUUUGAACUUCUCGAUAGUCAAUGAUUGGAGGGCAUGGCAUCUCAAUGGCCAGGCCGCAGGAUUUACCAUUGCAUAUGCGAACAAUUUGACAUUUGCAACAAUAAAGGGUGGUGGUCAUACUGCUCCAGAGUACCAGCCAGAAGAAUGCUUUGCCAUGGCCCAACGAUGGCUGGCAAAUGAGCCACUUUGA